ACGAACGCUGGCGGCGUGCUUCACACAUGCAAGUCGAACGGUGAAGCGCCUUCCUUUUUGGUGGGUGUGGAUGAGUGGCGAACGGGUGAGUAACACGUGAGUAACCUGCCCCCUUCUUCUGGAUAACCGCAUGAAAGUGUGGCUAAUACGGGAUAUUCUGGGUCUGUCGCAUGAUGGGUCUGGGAAAGAUAUUGUUUCGGUGGGGGAUGGGCUCGCGGCCUAUCAGCUUGUUGGUGGGGUGAUGGCCUACCAAGGCGGUGACGGGUAGCCGGCCUGAGAGGGUGGACGGCCACACUGGGACUGAGACACGGCCCAGACUCCUACGGGAGGCAGCAGUGGGGAAUAUUGCACAAUGGGCGCAAGCCUGAUGCAGCGACGCCGCGUGAGGGAUGGAGGCCUUCGGGUUGUGAACCUCUUUCGCCAGUGAAGCAGGCCUGCCUCGUUUGUGGGUGGGUUGACGGUAGCUGGAUAAGAAGCGCCGGCUAACUACGUG
This 493-nucleotide ribosomal RNA is filed under the name uncultured bacterium. RNAcentral's name for it is "partial 16S ribosomal RNA". It matches the Rfam family "Bacterial small subunit ribosomal RNA", at positions 29 to 507 of the family's 1533-position model. The record is from RNAcentral.